Molecule: unclassified non-coding RNA, 305 nt
Filed under: plant metagenome
Description: partial contains 5.8S ribosomal RNA, internal transcribed spacer 2, and large subunit ribosomal RNA
Rfam family: 5.8S ribosomal RNA (bases 1-105)
Source: RNAcentral
GAAAUGCGAUAAGUAGUGUGAAUUGCAGAAUUCAGUGAAUCAUCGAAUCUUUGAACGCACAUUGCGCCCUUUGGUAUUCCUUAGGGCAUGCCUGUUCGAGCGUCAUCUAAACCUUCAAGCCCUGCUUGGUGUUGGGUGCCUGUCCCGCCUCCGCGCGCGGACUCACCUCAAAUCCAUUGGCGGCCCCCGCGUCGGCCACGAGCGCAGCAGAAACGCGAACUCGUGAGCCCGUCCGGGCGGCUCCCAGAAGCUAUACCCACCCAGUUUGACCUCGGAUCAGGUAGGGAUACCCGCUGAACUUAAGC